GCAAUGGUGGCUCAGUGAUGUAAUUCUCGCCUUCCAUGCAGAAGACCCAGGUUUGAUUCCUGGCCAAUGCA
RNAcentral lists this transfer RNA (71 nucleotides) under Loxodonta africana (African savanna elephant). It matches the Rfam family "tRNA". From Rfam's summary of the family: Transfer RNA (tRNA) molecules are approximately 80 nucleotides in length. Their secondary structure includes four short double-helical elements and three loops (D, anti-codon, and T loops). Further hydrogen bonds mediate the characteristic L-shaped molecular structure. tRNAs have two regions of fundamental functional importance: the anti-codon, which is responsible for specific mRNA codon recognition, and the 3' end, to which the tRNAs corresponding amino acid is attached (by aminoacyl-tRNA synthetases). tRNAs cope with the degeneracy of the genetic code in two manners: having more than one tRNA (with a specific anti-codon) for a particular amino acid; and 'wobble' base-pairing, i.e. permitting non-standard base-pairing at the 3rd anti-codon position. The record is from Rfam by way of RNAcentral. Lineage: Eukaryota; Metazoa; Chordata; Mammalia; Proboscidea; Elephantidae.